Molecule: non-coding RNA, 29 nt
Filed under: Bombyx mori (domestic silkworm)
Lineage: Eukaryota; Metazoa; Arthropoda; Insecta; Lepidoptera; Bombycidae
Source: RNAcentral
UGCCUUGAUGACGAACAAAGAUGGAAUGA